This is a non-coding RNA of Peromyscus maniculatus bairdii (prairie deer mouse), 210 nucleotides long. The record is from RefSeq and is a predicted model, not a curated record. Lineage: Eukaryota; Metazoa; Chordata; Mammalia; Rodentia; Cricetidae.
GUGGAAAUCAGUAUGGCGGUUUCUCAGAAAAUUGGGAAUCAAUCGAUCUACAUCAAGACCCAGCCAGACCACUCUUGGGCAUAUACCCAAUGAAUGCUCAAUCAUACCACAAAGACACAUGCUCAACUAUGUACAUAGCAGCACUAUUUAUAGUAGACAAAUCCUGGAAACAAUCUAGCCACCCAUCAACUGAUAAAUGGACAGUGAAAA